GGGGUUGUGUUUCAGCGGUAGAAGGCUUGCCUAGCAUGUGAGAGGCUCUGGGUUCAAUCCUCAGCCCCA
RNAcentral lists this transfer RNA (69 nucleotides) under Ictidomys tridecemlineatus (thirteen-lined ground squirrel). RNAcentral's name for it is "Spermophilus tridecemlineatus (thirteen-lined ground squirrel) tRNA". It matches the Rfam family "tRNA". Rfam says of the family: Transfer RNA (tRNA) molecules are approximately 80 nucleotides in length. Their secondary structure includes four short double-helical elements and three loops (D, anti-codon, and T loops). The record is from Rfam by way of RNAcentral. Lineage: Eukaryota; Metazoa; Chordata; Mammalia; Rodentia; Sciuridae. RNAcentral also lists the same sequence under 1 other name.